UAGAGAAGUUACAUAGUCAAUUCUAACAAAACAGAAGGAGGAAACUCAGAAAAGAAUUUCAUUUCAUUUUCCUUGUGUGUUUGUGUAUGUUAAUGUCAACAAAAAUCCCAAUUCACAUCCCUAAAAUCAUAAAUAAUAAGUAUUGCACUAUACCCAAUCUCAAAUCUAACAAGGCAUGAUAUGUGUCGUUUUGGUCUGAUAGCUCAUCACCACCCCACCAUCUUUGCACCCAACCCUCAAAACCUUCACCAAAUCCGCACACAUCAUCCUCACAUUCCCUUCCCCUUCACUCUGCAUCACCAGCAAUAACUUGGUCAAACCAUUGCUCCUCAUAACCUUCUCCUGCACCCUCUCAUCCCUGAAUGAACAGCAUAAACUCCAUAGCACCAUUACAGCAUCCACCGUCGCCGUUUUCGAAACCUUCAUUAACCUCUCUACUAUACAUCCUACGCAUUUCGGGUCAUCGCUUAUCGCUUUUCUACCAUCCGCGCACGUCGAAACUAUCGAUGCCAGCUUUAAGGACUUCUCCACGAGUGAAACGGCUGCGUUUUUGUUUGAGAGUGCUUUAGAUAUGACUUGAACGAGUCCGAGUUGCACGAUUUGAUUCUUGAUUGAGCGAGUUAUGACUAUUGAGCUCAAGAGAGACAAAACUGCGUCGUGCAACGCUGGAUCGUUUUCUGCUUUGAGGAGAUGGAAAAGAACUGGCAUGAGAUUUUGUGUUUCUGCGACGAAGCGUUUCGAAUCGUUAUUUAUCGAAAUUGACUCCAGAACUCUAACGGCUUGGAUUUUCGAGUGGGAUUUUCCAUUUUGGAUAACCAAAAGAAACGAAGAUAAGCAAUUUUCAUUGCUCGUGAGGACUAAUCUGUGCACUUUCUCCCUGACUCCAUUUUCAAGUAACAUCAAAUCCAAAACCCGAACAAUCAAUUCCAAAAUC
Molecule: unclassified non-coding RNA, 934 nt
Filed under: Hevea brasiliensis (rubber tree)
Lineage: Eukaryota; Viridiplantae; Streptophyta; Magnoliopsida; Malpighiales; Euphorbiaceae
Source: RNAcentral